RNAcentral lists this ribosomal RNA (459 nucleotides) under uncultured bacterium. RNAcentral describes it as "bacterial SSU rRNA". It matches the Rfam family "Bacterial small subunit ribosomal RNA", at positions 346 to 796 of the family's 1533-position model. The record is from RNAcentral.
AGGCAGCAGUUAGGAAUCUUCCGCAAUGGGCGAAAGCCUGACGGAGCGACACCGCGUGAGCGAAGAAGGCCUUCGGGUCGUAAAGCUCUGUUGUGAGGGACGAAGGAGCGCCGUUCGAAGAGGGCGGCGCGGUGACGGUACCUCACGAGGAAGCCCCGGCUAACUACGUGCCAGCAGCCGCGGCAAUACGUAGGGGGCGAGCGUUGUCCGGAAUUAUUGGGCGUAAAGCGCGCGCAGGCGGUUCCUUAAGUCUGAUGUGAAAGCCCACGGCUCAACCGUGGAGGGUCAUUGGAAACUGGGGGACUUGAGUGCAGGAGAGGAGAGCGGAAUUCCACGUGUAGCGGUGAAAUGCGUAGAGAUGUGGAGGAACACCAGUGGCGAAGGCGGCUCUCUGGCCUGCAACUGACGCUGAGGCGCGAAAGCGUGGGGAGCAAACAGGAUUAGAUACCCGAGUAGUCC